GUAGAGCGUCUCCACCACCACGGCGGCCGCCGGCCCGGACCCCGGCCCCGCGCCCGGCUCCAGCAGGUGCCGCCGCACGCCCAGGUCCGCGACCCCGGAAGCGGAAGCCGGCCUGCCCCCAUGACCCUCACCGCCCUCUAGGUCUGCGACCUCGGAAGCAAGAAGCUGUCUGCCCCGCCCCGCAACAAAGAUAGCGCCGGGGCCGCGUUGUCCAAUCUCGUCCCUUUAUUCCUUCGCGGAGCCGGGCCGGCGGGGCGCUCACGGGCGCGGUCCCCGCGGGCUCCUCAGGUAGCGGCAGACGCUCUCCUGCGGACAGAUGAGGGGGAGGCCGUGAGCCCGGCGCGGCCUAGCAACCCUCCCGCGGGUGCCUGGACGGACGGAGAUCCCUUGGGAAGGCCCCGGCCUCGGGCCCGGCCCCUCGGGAUUCAGCACAAGCCGCUACUCAUGAGUACGUCAGGAUCAGCCUGGUGUUGAGGGCCGGGCCGGGCCGGGCCGGGGGGAGGGAGGGGAAAUCACGGGGGCGUAGGGCUGUGGCAGGGGCCAGCCGUGCUCUCCUGCUGCGUCAGGAGCUAUUGAGCAGGGGCAGGGGCAAGGCCCCUGCAUCAACCUCCCUGGCCUGAGAUGCUGGAGGCUGUAAGUGGGGGCUGUGCCCAGUUCACUCCCUUUCAGCCUCUGCUCCCUGCCCUUGGGCGAGGUGGGUGCAUGGUCUGACCCAGUCAGUGGCAGCUUUUCUGGUCCAGUACUACUUCGGCCUGUUUCUCCUUCACUUCUGUGGAUAGUUGGGGGGAUGCUACAACGCCCAAGAUACCGCACUCUACAUUAGUUUGUAUUAAUCAUCAUCAUAUAAUACUGCUACUACUUCCAAUAGUAUUUUUGUGUCUGCUUAAUCACUGAAUCUGCUUGUAGCCUGUUACUCUCUCCCCAAGAAGCACAGGGCUUUCCCUUUAAGCCCAUAGUCUCAGAACUGAAAAAAAGGGCUGAGCGCUUCCCCGCUCGUGCACUUAUAUAAACAUGAGUUCCUCAAGCACCCAGCACCAUUAGUACUGGGCUAUUACAGCACUAUAGCCUGUGAAGGGACUAGCUCCCCUCAUCCUCAGAGCUUCUAGCGGUCAGUGUCAGGGCUGUUAUUGAAAGGCAGGAGCGGCAGCAGCUGUGAAACGGGCUACUUCCAGUCAUUUUCAAGGUUUCCAACAGCAGCCCCUUAAAAGCUGCCUCCCUUUCACCAUUUAUGGUACAGGUAAAGGGGAAUACAAUUUAUUGAUAUCAUUGAAAGAUGCUGUGCAUCUAAGAUAUUUGUACAAAUAAUAGGGAUUUGUUACGAUGUAAACAGGCAAUAACUUGGGACUGGUGCUUAAAUAAAUAUACACAUCCAGUAUGCACACAGAUGGAAUAGAUUGUACAAGUGCAAAAAUCUUUUAGCA
Alligator mississippiensis (American alligator) is the source of this 1421-nucleotide long non-coding RNA. RefSeq lists it as uncharacterized. The transcript has 2 exons. NCBI's taxonomy places the organism in Eukaryota, Metazoa, Chordata, Crocodylia, Alligatoridae. The record is from RefSeq and is a predicted model, not a curated record.